UCUACCUUUCAUACGUCAUCAUCAGCUGAGAAAGAAGACGUGAAGGAUGCCAUUGAAUAUUAUGGGGUGUGGGUUGAGAAGAAAAAAGCAAAGAAAGAUGUUCAAGAGCACAGGCGGUGGCAAAACAGGAAUGUCUGGAUAAAUUAAAUACACCACCAGGCAACAUGACUAAUUGGCGAAUGAAGCAAAAGAUUACUCUAAGGAAGAACGCCUGUUUGAAAAUGGAGAAUGAAAACACUAUAGAAGAAAAAAACAAAAAGAGUUUUUCAUCUGGGGAGAGCUCAAAAUUGAUUAAAAUGCCAAUGAAAGGUUGCCCUGAAUGCCAAAGGUGCAAAGGAAAGUAAAAGACAGCCUUCAAAGCAGAAGGCUCAUCAGCAGAUGAGCUCUUCCAGUGGCAAUCAUGGU
Falco peregrinus (peregrine falcon) is the source of this 405-nucleotide long non-coding RNA. RefSeq lists it as uncharacterized. Lineage: Eukaryota; Metazoa; Chordata; Aves; Falconiformes; Falconidae. The transcript is spliced from 3 exons. The record is from RefSeq and is a predicted model, not a curated record.